GCCCCCGCAGUCCCCGCCGGCCCCCGGGAAGCUGUAAGUUUUUUUCUGCUUUGUACAAAACAUGCUGAGACUGGAAAUUUGCCAGUGACCUAAACAGCCAAAAGCAGAUGACCUAAAGUUGGGGAAGGAAAAAGUUUAAAGAAAGUGCAUAAUGAGACUUCAGGAGGUGUUGCAGACACACUCUUUCCAAACACACAUAAAAUCCGUGGGACUUGGAUUCUUCUGGAGGCUGUGAGCACAGAAAUCUCCAAAAUCUUCAGAUCUGAUUCGACUCCUGGGUUCCUACAACCAAGCACCUCCAUCUUACCACUUGGUUUCCCAUCCAGCCCGGUGCUUGAGUGACGCAACUGCCUGUGUGUAAGCACUUGUUACCCUGUUGUCACUACAGCUCUGAGAAGUGGAUACAUUCAUUUCCAGUCCUGAUUCACCUCCCCACCAGUGAACCAGCAGAGGUGCUGCUCUUCCACUCCUAUUUUUUGCUGGCAUUCAUUUCCUCAAAGCAGAUGGCUUGUGAG
Calypte anna (Anna's hummingbird) is the source of this 515-nucleotide long non-coding RNA. RefSeq lists it as uncharacterized. NCBI's taxonomy places the organism in Eukaryota, Metazoa, Chordata, Aves, Apodiformes, Trochilidae. The transcript is spliced from 3 exons. The record is from RefSeq and is a predicted model, not a curated record.